Helianthus annuus (common sunflower) is the source of this 1072-nucleotide long non-coding RNA. RefSeq lists it as uncharacterized. The transcript has 6 exons. The record is from RefSeq and is a predicted model, not a curated record. NCBI's taxonomy places the organism in Eukaryota, Viridiplantae, Streptophyta, Magnoliopsida, Asterales, Asteraceae.
UCAACAUGCAUUUUCACAUUCUAUUUCUUUGAAGUUCAGUUCAAGUCCAAGUCGUUAAUACGUCCUCUCUCUUCAAUCAAUCCUUAAACCCUAAUUUCAAUUUCAUACAUCUCUGCCUGUUCCGUCGCUGAUUAUCUUCAAAUCAAGGUUUUGUGUCGAUUUCUCUCUAAAAUUAAGUAUGUCUCUGUAUUCGGUCUAGGGCCUUUAUAAACAACAUUGGUGAAAAUGGAAAUUGGCUUUGGCAAAGAUGAUUGCUAUACAAGCCGGGAAAGGAAUAAGAGCUCCGGUGAACACUCCGAAAAGGUAAUCAAUUGCUAUUGUUCGUGUCGUUUUCCUUCUGAAUGAACACUCCGAAAAGGUAUCUAUUUUUGUUUAUGUGUUGUAUUUUACUAAACAAUGGAUCUCUUUUUAUUUACUUUAUCAAUGUUUUUUGAGAUCGUAGAGAUAAAAUAACUAAUUUGGCCUCCAAACCCGAUAUAUCGAACUAAAAUUAAACAUGUUCUUUAACUGAAGACAAGCCCUAGAUCCAUAUAAGGUUUAGGAAGGUAGGCUAUUAUCUAUGUUGGUUAAUUUCAACACAUUUAUGGGAAAGUAUGCAAAGAUGGUUGUUCUGCACAAGUGCUUAUCUUGGAAUAUAUGUAAACAUAAUUUUUGCUCCAGAUGAUGCACUUUAUGUUAGUCUUAGGACUCAGUUUGUUUAAUCUGGAAAUGUGGGCAUUUGGUACAAAGUCAAAAUAUGUUUUUGUUGAAAUGGAUUGCUUACAUGUUUACUUGAAUCCAUGCAGAAACCAAGAAAAAUGGUGGCAAAAAUACCCACUAUUCCUCUGAGCACACCAGCUUUAAAACCAACAAAAAGUUGUUUAAACGCUCCUCAGUGCAUUCAAAUAUACAUAACUAUAGGAGCUCAUGAGUAUGACCAUCGCGUUGGUUUCAUGUAUCAGCAAAAGACCGAGUUUUUUGGGUUCUCUAAAGUUAUGUAUAGUGUUUUUUAUUCGGAAAGAGUACGGGUAAUUGUAGCAAUAAUGGUGAUAGCAGUGGAGGUGUUGAAGCUUAGAAGCUGAAGUAGAGAUAU